This 24-nucleotide non-coding RNA is filed under the name Gossypium hirsutum (cotton). Lineage: Eukaryota; Viridiplantae; Streptophyta; Magnoliopsida; Malvales; Malvaceae. The record is from RNAcentral. RNAcentral also lists the same sequence under 1 other name.
CAGCCCUUUGUCGCUUCGAUUCGU